RNAcentral lists this long non-coding RNA (4665 nucleotides) under Marmota monax (woodchuck). The record is from RNAcentral. Lineage: Eukaryota; Metazoa; Chordata; Mammalia; Rodentia; Sciuridae.
AGCGAAAGCAGUGGCAAGAUGGCGUCCCUGGAUCGGGUGAAGGUACUGGUGUUGGGAGACUCAGGUGAGCGGCUAAACCCUCCUCUGUGGCUCCCGACACUUUUCAGUUACCCAAUACCUCUCACCCUUCACUGCUGUCCCCAGCUUCCUGGCUUUUCGGUCUGUAGCUGAGUUCCCUUUCGGAGCCUAAAGACUACACUUCCCAGAGGACUUUGCUCCAUUUGAAGAAUCGCCGUCGUCGCGUGGUGGGGGGCUGGUAGUGGAGUUAGCGCCUUGGUCUGCGGUUGCGGUUUUCCACGUCCGGCUUCCGAGCGACCGCUGCUUAAGAGAAUUGCUUUAUUUAAAAUAAUAAUAAUUUUUUUUAUCAAUUGACUUACUUUAAAAAGUGCUGGCGCUGUUAUUUUAUUGGGAGCCGUGUAAGGGUACAGAAGUUAGUAGGACAGUGCCUUCAGGAUAUUUUGUUAAGUCUGACGUGCACCAAGAAUGACACUGGCGAGCGCUUUGGUAUAUUAAUUCAUUUAAUUCCAAGAUUAGUCCUUUGACCCCAUUAUAGAGGAGAGAAAGGCGAGUAGCAGAGUUGUAAAUGACAACUGGUUUGAACCCACGAGCUUAAACACAUAUGUUACGCAAUGAAAUAGUGAGUGGUAAUCCUAUUUCACUCUUAAUCCAAAAAUGGAUUUCCAUAUUCUCAUUUAAUCUUAACUGAAAAACCUAUUAUGUUCUGAAUUGUAGGAAAUAGAGAAAUUAAGAUGAAGGCCACACUCAAAAGUGACUAGGACUUAAUCCUGAGCCUAACUUAAUCCUAGUGUUAAAAUACUUCUUUUGACUCCCUGGACAUUUGAAAACUACCUUUGAAAUCUGCACCAUCGCUCCAACUGGACCCCGCAACCUUACUCUCUUUCCCACAUAACCUACGACUCUCCUAAAAACUUGAAUAAAUGCUGUUAUAGAUGUGCUUUUCUGGAUUUGAUCUUUGUGUGCUGUAAGCAAUGACAUUGUGUUACAUGCUUGGAGACAAAGAGGACAUACCCCAAAGAGCUUGAAAGCUAGCCUUACAGAGAGUAUAUCAAAUUAUGGUGGGAGAGGAACAUCGUCACAUUGCAUGGGAACAUUUGCAAUUCAACAUAUCUUACAAAAAGUAUUAUUUAAUAUUCCUCAAAUAUUAUUUAAUAUUCCUGCAUUAUGAAAAUCUAUAAAUAUAAUCCCAAUGUAUGUCAAUUUCAUUUCUUUUAUUGUGGAGCUUAAAAUGACAUUAAGUCAAUAAAAUCACUUGGUGUAACUGAUGAAGAAAGUAAUGGUGGCCUAAAGGGACUUGGCAAUACUCAUCAUCAAAUACAAUUUAAGGCUAGAAUCCAGAGUUAACACAGAUCUUAAUGGUGUAUAAAGUAGAUGUUCUUUCUACUAAGUAAUUCCAUUUUCUAUUGUAUCUAGCAGUCCCUUCAUGUUACAUGCUAUUGGAGUUAGUUUAUUUAUUGUGUUUUUCAGUAGGUAUAUUGUAUUAGAUGCUGGGAUUAUAACUGUAGAAUCAGUGCAUUGCAAUAACAGGUAGAAUUGGCCACUGCAUUAAAUGUGGAAAAGUAGUCAGGCAGUUAGUAAGUUUUCCCUCCACCCACCCCAUUUUUCAUUAGUUUUAAAAGAGACAUCAGGGCCUGCAUAAUGCCCACCUGGAAGGUGAUUGAUCCUGUCACACAUUCACUAUUUGGUUUUAUGUGCAAAGUCGGUUAUUGUCUUUUUAUCAGUUUCCUCUUAACAGUGAUUUUCUAAUUAACAGGUCAGAAUACACACUUUGCACUUCAUGUUCAGACUUCAAAGUUAAUUUUGAAUAAAAGGUUUAUUUCCUUUGUGAACUUUUGAGAGUUUUUCAAAUACAUAAAGGAAUGACUUGAGAUUCGGAGACUUCUUUUGUAUCCUACAGACAGAAAUAUUUGAUAAUCUAUUAAGAAUCAUGAAAGACUUAAUAACAUAAACAUACUGUUUUCUCUUUGUUCUUUCAGAGAUUAGGGAUGAGCUUAAUACAUUACCAACAACUGUAUUUGGAGCUGACAUUUAUUUGAUUAUAUUGGGCCUUUUUUCCCCAAAAGCAAAUCAAGUUUAUUCUUUUGAUCUAAUUUACUUCAACGACAGAAAUAUAGAAUCAGAACCUCCUAAAAUUCUCAAAAUAAAUAAAUAAUUGGCCUCUAUGCCUAGCACUUCAGCCUUUCCUAACUAUUAGUUUCAUCCAUUGUCACUAAUACUUACCACCUAAAGCUGUUUGUUCAUGGAGAGAUAUACAAUAUUACUGCAUAGAGAUAUUUACCCUGACACAGUAAAGCUAAACUAGGACUUAAGCCUUGCAUGAAGCUGAUAACUAAAUGCCUUGAUAUGUGCUCCAACAUAAACAUAUGUAAACACAAUGUUAACAAUAUGCCCUAAAGAUUAACGAUAACAUGCAAUUCAGUAAUGAACAUAUGCAAUGAAAUGAAGUUUGAGUACUCAGAAAUCUUAAAUGCUGAUAUGUUAAAAAAGAAGAAAAAAAGAAAACCUUGGGAAAUUUUUCAAUUAUAUUAGAUUAUUAAUAUCUUUAGUGCAUAAAGAGGUCAUAUAAAUUAAUACUAAAACCCAGUAGAUAAAUGGGCAGGGGAAAGAUGAACAGAGAUGAUCAUAAUUUAUAUCUUUCCCAGAAAGUAAAGCAGACUAAAGCAAGUCUCAGGUUUUUUUUCUCUUAUCAAAAUAGCAAAGAUAAAGAAAAACAGCUACAUGUUCAUAUGUGUGACUGGUGACAGUGUAAUCAGAUGAAAGUAAUUUGCCAACAUGUAUUAAGAACUUUUAAUUUUUUUCCCUUGUACAUGUUGAUGUUCUUGGAAGACAUACCAAGGAAAUAAUUUUAAACAAAUGUUUAAAUAGAAAUAAAAACUUAGUGUAGUGAAAUUUUUUAAACACACUAAAUCUAUAAUAAUGAUAGAAUAGUUAAAUAAAUCAUUAUAUCUACUGUAUAAAGUACUAUGGAAAUAUUUAAAUGUUUAUGAAGAUUCUAUAACAACUUGCAAAUUGUCCCCUACCAUGAUAUGGGGAUUAAACCCGGAGGUGCUCUAUCCACUAAGUUAUACCCCCAUCCCUUUUUAUUUUUUAUUUAUUAAUAUACAGGGUCUUGCUAAGCUGCUAAGGCUGGCCUCCCAGUUUGAUGCUUAAAGAGCACUUAAUGUAUCACAGACAUAAUACAACCAUACCCAUUCACAUAGAAACUUUUAGUCAAUAAAUACUGAUUAAGGCCCUGUUUUGAGUACUGUCGAUUAAAAAAAAAAGGAGUAAAACCCAGCCCCAACACUCAAGGAACUUAAACAGUGAGUAAAACCUAGAAAUAAGAGUAAAACUGUUUAAAGUGCCCUAUAGGAAAAUAUACUGGGUAGAGUGGAAGUGCAUUGGAUGGUGUGCUUAGUUCUACCUGUAUGGAGUCAUAAAAUACUUUUUAGAAUGUUCCUGAGUCUUGAAAGAGUAAUUGACCAGGUCAGUGGGGGAGGAGAGAGAGGAUGGAUAGGCUGUUUGUGGUAGAGCAAGCUAUGUAAGCAAAGGCUUAUGAUAUUUGUAUUAUUUUAAAGUAUACCAUGCAUAUCAUCACAAUAGAAGGAAUAAACAUAAGUGAUGGAUUUAUACAUAAUAAUUCACACAGAGAUGAUCUAAAUCAUUGAGGUAGCUAGUGAUUCAUAAAGAUUCCCCAACUAUACCUGUCAUAAUGGAAUCCCAAAAUGCUUUUAAAUGAAUGAGUGACUCCAAAGAGGUAUAGGGGAGUGUUCAUUCCCUUUCUUCAUACAGAUCUCCCAAGUGCCACCCUUAGCAUUAAUAAUUAGAUUGCCUUAAGACUGAAGGAGAUCUAAAAUGAGAUAAAAUGCUGCUUCAAAGUAAAAGACCAUGAUGUAGAAGAAAUUAGAGUUGCUCUUUUGAUUCAAAGGGUAAAUUUGUGCUGCUUUUAAAAAAUCACUAACUGGGAGAAUUGGAGUGCCUGAAAAUGGAUUUGUUAGAUGGUAAGUCCUGCUUACUGACAGCAUUCAGUAACAGGGUAACAGGGUGCCAUGAAAGGGACCCUACCUCAUCAUGGGUGUACAGGGUAGAUGGAUUACCUCUAAAAUCUGUUAACAUUCUGCAAUCCUAAAAUAGGCUGAGUAGAUAGUCAAAUAUUUACCAGGAAAGGGGUUAGUUAUUAUGAAAUUGCCCUACUCCAGUGGUUCAAAGUGAAGCUCCCAGACUAGUAGCAUCAGUAUCACCUGAGAACAUGUUAGAAAUUUAAAAAUCCUGGAUGCUAUUAUAGACAUGCUAAAUUGGAAAGCCUGGGACCAGGAUCCAGCUCUCUGAUUUUGAUGCUAAAUUGAAAAGGAUCACUGCCCUUAACUAUCUUCACUUUCAUUCUUAUUUCAAGCUUAUAUCAUUGAUAUGAUCUGAACAUACCUUUAAACAUAUUGCACUUUAAAUACCAUUAUUACUGCAUAUUCUUAUUCUUACUUUGAACAUAGAGAUUUCAGUAUGUCUUUCAUAUUACUAUAGUUCUUGUAUCUUUUCCAGGUGUUGGAAAAUCUUCACUAGUCCAUCUUCUCUGCCAAAAUCAAGUGUUGGGAAAUCCAUCAUGGACUGUGGGCUGCUCAGUGGAUGUCAGAGUAUGUGUCUCUUAUGUUUUAUGUUUUUAGUAGUCAUACU